RNAcentral lists this ribosomal RNA (1168 nucleotides) under Enterococcus mundtii. RNAcentral's name for it is "bacterial SSU rRNA". It matches the Rfam family "Bacterial small subunit ribosomal RNA", at positions 70 to 1225 of the family's 1533-position model. The record is from RNAcentral. Lineage: Bacteria; Bacillati; Bacillota; Bacilli; Lactobacillales; Enterococcaceae.
AGCUUGCUCCACCGGGAAAAGAGGAGUGGCGAACGGGUGAGUAACACGUGGGUAACCUGCCCAUCAGAAGGGGAUAACACUUGGAAACAGGUGCUAAUACCGUAUAACAAUCGAAACCGCAUGGUUUCGUUUUGAAAGGCGCUUUACGGUGCCGCUGAUGGAUGGACCCGCGGUGCAUUAGCUAGUUGGUGAGGUAACGGCUCACCAAGGCCACGAUGCAUAGCCGACCUGAGAGGGUGAUCGGCCACAUUGGGACUGAGACACGGCCCAAACUCCUACGGGAGGCAGCAGUAGGGAAUCUUCGGCAAUGGACGAAAGUCUGACCGAGCAACGCCGCGUGAGUGAAGAAGGUUUUCGGAUCGUAAAACUCUGUUGUUAGAGAAGAACAAGGGUGAGAGUAACUGUUCACCCCUUGACGGUAUCUAACCAGAAAGCCACGGCUAACUACGUGCCAGCAGCCGCGGUAAUACGUAGGUGGCAAGCGUUGUCCGGAUUUAUUGGGCGUAAAGCGAGCGCAGGCGGUUUCUUAAGUCUGAUGUGAAAGCCCCCGGCUCAACCGGGGAGGGUCAUUGGAAACUGGGAGACUUGAGUGCAGAAGAGGAGAGUGGAAUUCCAUGUGUAGCGGUGAAAUGCGUAGAUAUAUGGAGGAACACCAGUGGCGAAGGCGGCUCUCUGGUCUGUAACUGACGCUGAGGCUCGAAAGCGUGGGGAGCAAACAGGAUUAGAUACCCUGGUAGUCCACGCCGUAAACGAUGAGUGCUAAGUGUUGGAGGGUUUCCGCCCUUCAGUGCUGCAGCUAACGCAUUAAGCACUCCGCCUGGGGAGUACGACCGCAAGGUUGAAACUCAAAGGAAUUGACGGGGGCCCGCACAAGCGGUGGAGCAUGUGGUUUAAUUCGAAGCAACGCGAAGAACCUUACCAGGUCUUGACAUCCUUUGACCACUCUAGAGAUAGAGCUUCCCCUUCGGGGGCAAAGUGACAGGUGGUGCAUGGUUGUCGUCAGCUCGUGUCGUGAGAUGUUGGGUUAAGUCCCGCAACGAGCGCAACCCUUAUUGUUAGUUGCCAUCAUUUAGUUGGGCACUCUAGCAAGACUGCCGGUGACAAACCGGAGGAAGGUGGGGAUGACGUCAAAUCAUCAUGCCCCUUAUGACCUGGGCUACACACGUGC